AUUGAACGCUGGCGGCAGGCUUAACACAUGCAAGUCGAGCGGUAACAGAGAGAAGCUUGCUUCUCUGCUGACGAGCGGCGGACGGGCGAGUAAUGCCUAGGAAUCUGCCUAGUAGUGGGGGACAACUUGCCGAAAGGUAAGCUAAUACCGCAUACGUCCUACUGGAGAAAGGAGGGGACCUUCGGGCCUUUCGCUAUUAGAUGAGCCUAGGUCGGAUUAGUUAGUUGGUGAGGUAAUGGCUCACCAAGACCGCGAUCCGUAACUGGUCUGAGAGGAUGAUCAGUCACACUGGAACUGAGACACGGUCCAGACUCCUACGGGAGGCAGCAGUGGGGAAUAUUGGACAAUGGGGGGAACCCUGAUCCAGCCAUGCCGCGUGUGUGAAGAAGGUCUGAGGAUGGUAAAGCACUUUAAGGUGGGAGGAAGAGCAGUUAACUAAUAUUUGACUGUUUUGACGUUACCGACAGAAUAAGCACCGGCUAACUUCGU
RNAcentral lists this ribosomal RNA (489 nucleotides) under uncultured bacterium. Its description in RNAcentral is "partial 16S ribosomal RNA". It matches the Rfam family "Bacterial small subunit ribosomal RNA", at positions 30 to 506 of the family's 1533-position model. The record is from RNAcentral.